This is a long non-coding RNA of Prinia subflava (tawny-flanked prinia), 14733 nucleotides long. RefSeq lists it as uncharacterized. The record is from RefSeq and is a predicted model, not a curated record. The transcript has 2 exons. NCBI's taxonomy places the organism in Eukaryota, Metazoa, Chordata, Aves, Passeriformes, Cisticolidae.
CAACCCAAACCAUUCUGUGAUUAUUCUAUGAAUCAGAAAGGUUAAUUCAUAUUAUCUCUAUCCAUGUUGGCUUUGUGUCCUGCAGUUGCUCUGCAGAUCUGCUUUUAAACACUUCUCUCUGUUCCACAGAGGUGUUCACAUACACAGCUGUAUUCAAAAAGUUUUCAUUUUUAUUCUUCUGUGUUUGUUAUCAGGCACCCUUGCGGGCCCGAUGGAAUUGCUCUGGCACAAGUUCACUGGCCUGGGGUAGUUUAAACAGAAAGAGCAAACAAAUAUCAGUGCAGGACUGGCCCAAAUUCUGCUCUCACUUGCCAUGUUGCUGCUAUGGGACUGGGAGAGUCAGAGCCACAUGUUAGGGUGAUGUCUGUGUGAAGAAGACAAUCCAGGCCAGGAAGCAAUGUUAGAGAGGGUGAAGAUGAUCUAAAUUAUCAUGAAGGCCUGGUCUAGUGGAAGGUGUUCCUGUCCAUGGCAGGAGGGUUGGAAUGAGAACAUCUUUAGGGCCUCUUCCAACCCAAACCAUUCCACAGUUCUAUGAUUCUGUGGCUACUGCUGAGAUAUUCUCAGUCUAAAUUCCUACUAUGCUUAAGGUUGUCUUAAUUCUCCUGUCUAUUAUGAAAAUGCACAUUUUCUAAUAUGAAAACAUGCUUGAAAAUGCAUGUUCUCAAUAAGAAGCCACACCUUUUUAUUUUUCCUCCUAAUUUUAGGUAGAUUUUGCUCCUUAGUUUUCCUCUCACUGCUUUUUGAACAUCCCUCAGCCCUGAGCACACUCAUGCCCUCGUGGUCACAAACAACAUGUUCCGAGGCAGGGAUGGGGCUCAGACACAGGCCUUGUUGUUUGUGACUCUUUGUUCAGUAACUCUGUGACCUUGGAGGUAACCAUGGUUAAUUUGUUAAGGAAACAGCAACUCAGCAAACUUUGGAAACUUAGUUCCAAUAUCUGUGAAAAGAAAGGGAGCUGCUGGUGGCUUUCGUCUUCCUUGUUUAAGGCAAGUACCUGCACUUUGAUUUAGUUUCACAGUUGCUCUCAAGGUAUUAUAGUAGAAAAUGAAAAUAUAAACAUGCCUUUGUUCCCUAUGGUAACAAAGUGACGUCCCAGCUGCACCAGAAAUAAGGAUCCUGGGGACAAAAUAUUGAGCUGUACUUAAUCUGGGCAAUAAAAUGUAGGAGCAGAGACAGGCACUGUGUGGGCAAAGAUGCUGUCAUUCCACUGAAGCAGCCUGGCUCUGGUCCUCUGCAGCUCCAAUAAAUACAAGAGAAUAGCAAAGAUGCAAAGAUGUACCUGCAGAUCUGAAAUUUCUGCACUCAACUCUGCAUUUAGAGACGAAAUGCAACACGUGCUGGCAGAGAUGGGAAUGCCAGGUCUGUCCAAGUUCCUGAAGUAGCAAACAGAGAAUCAUAUAAAACAAUAACACAAAAACAAUAAUAAGGGUUAUAGGCACAGGGAAGGAGGAAAUCAGUAAAACCAAAGUGUAUGUGCAUGUUUCAAAUGGCGUUGUUCAGUUCCCGCUGAGGAAGGUGGCUGUUCAAGGGCAGGGUUCGUGCUCAGGGAGGGAAUCUGCCGUGUAAAAGAGGUUAACCGGGAAAGGCUGCGGCUUGGAAAGUGUUGUAACGAGAGAAAUCACAAGAGGGGGGUGUUGUACAGCACUCCGGCGUCUGCAAUCCCCACAGCACUGACCCCGUGCCAUAAUCCGAGUUUAUUUUACCAGAGGAAGAUACAAAAGUCACCGCCUGCAUCUCUUUUGACAGCAGUAACAUUUUUCUCCGUGUGAGACAAGGAUUUGUCAUGUCAAGAUCAAUAAGCAGGAGAACUGCCAUCUCCACCUCUGUAGCUGUGUUGAAACCAAGUGUGAAAUGACAGUGAGAGAGGUUUGACAGGUUAAAAAAGAAUCCAAACCAGAGAUCUGUGAAGGAUGAGUCAAUCAUGACGAUAUUUAUUUCAUUUCUUGGUCUUACCUCUUUUUUCAUCCUGUGAGUGAAAUCCUGUGAGUCUUUGAUCACUGACUGGGAGCUGGCUGCUCCUUCCCUGUCUACUGUCAGUGGCAGGAGGAAAUCAUGACUCAGCAGGUGGAAAAGGUGUGUCCAUAACCUCAUUCUCCUUCUGAUAAGAUGCUCUUUAAGCUUUUCAGGAAGAGUUUCCUUCUGUCUGCCACCCUGCCAAGACUCCUUUUACUUCUCCCUGUCUCCUGAGAACACAGCACCCUUCAGUAGUGUUGGAAAAAAUGAUGCAAGGAGCAGAGAAAAUCUCUUUCUGUCAAGCCCCAGUGUGAUGUGAAAAUGCACUUAAGAGCUGAGAUGCUGCUCAGAGAUGACUUCAUGGAAGAGGAUUGACUCCACUGUGUCUGGCAUCUGGCCUGGGAAGCUGAUGGGGAAUGAUUAAUUUCAAAUGAUGCACUGCACUGUGGAUAGCUGGAGACAGCUCUCCUCUUCCCAAACCUUAAUUGAAAAUGGGGAGAAAAGGAAGAGUUUGGGGCACGGGGCAAGUGUGACCUCCAGGAAAGCUCAGUGUGUGGCUGCAAAGCUGAUGCUGGCAGCUGAUCUGAACUGGACCCACUGCACUGGGGGCAGGCCCUGGCACAGCAGGGAGGGUGCUGUGAGAAUCAGGCACGUCUGCCUUUCUCAUCCAUCAUUGUUCCCUUCUCCCAGCGUUGCACAAGGAGGGAUUUGCACUUGGGCAAGUCAGUGUGUUGAUCUCCUUGCAUGAACUGCUCACCCACACACUCUGACCCAUCCCACUUCAUUGUGGGAGAGGAGAACACUGGCAGGAAAUUCAGGCCUCCUUUCUUGCAGCAACACCCAGCAACAGUGCCAGGCUCAGGCUGGCCACUUUGGCUGGGUUUGGUUUAUGGCUGUCAAGGAGAACAGUUACAGCACAUUAAAACAUCAUGUGAUGCUAUAAGCCAGCUUGCUGAAAGCUGUACAAUAGGGACAGACCAAAACUGUAGUGUUUGAAAAAAAAAAAAAAGAAAACCAAACCGAAACCCAAUAAUAGCCUGCCUAAAACUGCUUAAAAUAUCAUGCAGUCAUUAAAGUCAUUAAAAUAUGAUCAUCUUUUUGGAAUGUCCUUUGCUAGUUCCUGAUUUGCUGAUAGAUUCUCUGAGAUAUGAAAUAUUUGAUGAGUAAGUACCUUAAAAAAUUGAAGGUGAGGAUGGAAACUUAGUAAAUAAAGGGAGGGUUGAAAGGAGCUAGGGAAUUACAGACACAUCAGUUUACCUCCAAUUUCCUGAGAAAUCCUGGACCAAAUAAUCAAACAGUUUGUAAGCAUGUAAGAGAAGACAAUGAGACUAGAGAUAGUCAACAUGGAUUUGUCAAGAACAAAUCAUGUCAAGUCAAUCUCAUUUCCCUCCAUGGCAGAGCAACAAGCUUUGGGACAGAGAGAAAAACAUUCCAGUUGUGAGUCUUGACAUUAGUUAGACCUCUAUUGGGAAAGACAUAAGCAAGACAAGGAAAUGUAAAUAUGGAGUUAUAAAGAGCUGAGUGCAAAGUGUUUCAGGAAGGUGUAAGAGAUGUGUCUGACCAAGAGAAUUCUGAAAAAUGUGACCUGUAUGAGGAGUGAAGUGCUGUAAUAAACUCUUAGAGAGGGUUAUCACGGGAAGCUCUCGAGAACAAAAAUCUCUCAGCUGCUCCUGCCCUGUUACACAGGAACAGAAUAGAGAAGGUUCUUGAAGUCUUUGUACUCUGCUUCUAUUGCAACUCCAGCCAUAUAAAAAUCUUUGAUUGUCUGAGGUGGAUUUUACCCCACAGAAUUGCAUGUCCAGCAGGAAGCUCAGGCCAUAUCACUCACAUUAAUAUCACUGGCAGAACACUGAAAACAGAAUUACAAAAGCAUUUUGUGACUCCUAAUCUAAUUUAGUGAAAGUUACAUUACCUGAGUAUUAAUCAGUGUUCCAGUGUAAAGUGGUGGAUGAAACUGUUGCUUUCUUCUCUUAUAUGACACCACAGAGACAAAUUCCCCUUUCAACAGGAUUCCCUCAGGGAGCAGAGGGAAAAUAGCUGGCCUGGGAAGUGAAACUCCUGCUUGCUCCACACCACACUGCACCAGUGCUGGGCUUGUCACCCUCCCUUCACCAUGGCAUAGAUAUUUGAGAUAACUAGAAACAGAAACUCCGAAGUGCUGCAGGGAAUUAGGCAACUUAAAACACCAUCCUCACUAAAAUUUAUUACUGUGCAUGCAGAAACCCAUUUUUAGGCACUUAAGUCCAGUACAUCCAGUUCUGGUAUUUUACUUGAGACUGUUCAUGACCUUAAGCUUAGAUGUGGAUUUAAGUGUGGUGCUGGCUGUGAUCUCACAGUUUUGCUUGGAUUCUUUAUUCUCCCAUUCACACUGAAUCAAUUCCUGAUGCCACUGAACAAUAACUCAGCUCUGGUUUCCCCAGGGGAGGAAUUCAGCUCGUGGUGUGUAUUCUACGCUGAGGCUCAGCUGGCUCAUGCAUGGCCAGGGACAGGCAGAGGUAUUUUGCUUUUGGGGAGGAAACCCAAGUUUCCACACUCCCUUCUGAGGCAGAAAAGAGCUGCCUGCAGUGCUCAAAAUAGUUCAAGGGAAUUUUUGUAAUGCUUCAAAAAUAUCCUCCAAAGUGAGCCUUGGCAGUGUCUUCUGCACCACCUGCUACUGGUACUCUGGAAAUCAGGAGUGGCUGAAGGAGGAUGGUUGCAGUAAAAGCUCCCUGAGAAUGUCACCUUUGCACUUGUUUUGGUGCUCAGCAAAGCCAAAAUAAAAUAACAAGGUACUUUUUCCUCUGAAUGCUUUGACUCUGUUCUUUCUUUCAAAAGUCUGAUGGGGAGAUUUUAACCACAAAGCUUCAGGACAGAGGAUGUUUCGUUGAUUCUUGGUUCCUGGAUGAUCUCUGGAUGUUGGUUUUGCUCUGUGCAUGCACAGAGUGACCAUCCAGCACAGGCAGUGGCAAUGCUUCUGCCCAAAACUUCAGAGGGCUGGGACACGAGCCUGGUGAGGGCAAAGGGCAGCUGGGAACCUGAACCUUGUGUGUUUUGUUGGCUCGGAGGGCAGGAGGAGGUGAGACUGAGGGCAUGUUGGAUGGACAGCAGCUGUUGGAUAUUGGUCACACUCAGUGUGUGAGCUGGGCACAAGUUUGUCUGGAACAAAGUUUCCAAUAUCCCAUGCAAACCUCGAAACCCAAAGGAGUACUACGUGUGCGUGGAAAAGAGGAAGACAGCCUAAUUCAAGAGGGAGAGAAGUCAAACCUCUCCCACAAUUACAAAUGGGAGUACAGGUUUGGAUCCAUUUUGGUCUGUGUAUCAUUUCCACAUUUUCAGGUAGUGGUGUCCAAAGUACUAAAAAUCAGGGAUGGCUCAGGGUGAGCUUUUCUUGUGCCUGUGUGGUCAAGGAAUGGCCUGUGUUGGAAGGGACCUUUAAAGCCCAUCCAGUUCCAAUCCCCUGCCAUGGGCAGGGAUGCCUUCCACUAUCCCAGGUUGCUCCAAUUCCCAUCCAACCUGGCCUGGAACACUGCCAGGGAUGGGGCAACCACAGCUUCUCUGGGCACCCUGUGCCAGGGUCUCACCCCCCUCACAGCCAAGAAUUUUUUCCUAAUAUCCAAUCUAGUCCUACUCUGUGCCAGUCUGAACCCUGCUUACACUACAUGGGAACAGUCAGUCUGGCUUAAGCCAUGGAUUGACCUUUUUUUGGCCCAGAAAUGUGUGAUUUUGCAGUGAGAUCAGGAAUUGCAAUUUCCUGGUGCACGAGGGGUGUCCAAGUGUUUGCAUCAGGACCAGCUGGGCACUUUAGCACUAUGGAUGAGUGUUGGAUGCUGCAGACACUGGCCCCAGCCACACAGAACUCCCAAAUCUUGUGUGUGCAGGCUCACAGCCCAGCUGAGCUCACUCCAGCCCCUUCACUGAAGGAUCCUUGAAUAUUGCCUAAUUUGAGCCCGGGGACUCAGCCAUAACGAGUGGGUGAUUGAGUGAAUCAUGCCUCGCUUUCUCUUCCCCAACACAGCAAUUCACCCACAUUUGUUCAUUACUCAGACUUGUUUGCCAAAUAAUUUAUGCACAUAAUUUCGGGGUCGGUAAUUCAUUCACAUGCAGCCUGGGUGAGUGUUUAGCAAUUGAAAUGAGAAAGUCAAGAUGUUUUGUUUGGGCUCACAAGUUUUUGUUUCUUGAUUAAACUCUCAAAACCGUGUUGUAGGGGUGACUGCUCGUGUCAGUGAAUUCAGAAUGUAAUUUCUGCAUUUACCCUCUAAUACACACAUACAUUCAUGAUGUCUUCACUUGCUAGUAAACACGUUGAUUGCAAAGUCUGUGAAAGGGGGACACAAAAGGAGCCUAAAUUAAGCCAAUUAUUUAAAACAAUGAAACAUAUGGAAAACUAACCUGUUGUGUGAUCUUUUUAUUCUGUGCAAAAGAAAAAACGCUACACUGAAAUCUGGCCAAAAAGCAAAGUGAUAAAAUGUGUACUGGAUGCUUUCCAGCAUCCUCUGAAACAUUCAGGGUAGAAAAUGUCAAACUGCUUGAAUUUGAAUCUUUUAAAGAGAAAAAAAUAAGCAUCAGAAGUGUAACCAAGAAAUCUCCUGGGUAUGGUGAUGCUUAGCAGAGGAAUGGAAAGUGGUAAAUGUGGCACCAGAUUUUAACGCUGUUGUGUCAUGAUGGAAAUCCAUAACUCAUAAAUCCUUCUUGGGUAUCCCAGCUCUGGUUCCUUUAUGGAUGUGGAGGGAUAUAUGUGCAUAUAUACAUACAGGGGGGUGGCAAAAGGCUGUAGAUAAGGCGGAAUUGGGAAUUACAACACUUUAUAUGUGUUCAAGAAAACCAGAGGGAAGCAGCAACUGAGGGUUUCCAACUAUCUAUAAGUAUUUGGCUCAGGUAGUUCCCAAGAGGAAAAUUAUUGGAGGCUGAGAGAGCAUCAGAGGAAACAUUUUAUGCUCAUCCUGCUGCUGUACUUUCCUAGAUGUUCACUUUGGCCAGUGCUAGAGACAAGAUAAAAACAAGUGUGGGUUGGAUGAGUCUGGAUCUGUGUGGUUGGAGCUGGGAGAGGCAGGAGGUGUCUGGAAACCACAGCCUGGCAGCUCUUCUUUCUGUAGCAGGCAAAUUGGCAGGGAUCACCUGGGAUACUUGGAUAUACUGGAGACUGUGGAAGAUCAGUCACUGUAGAAAGAUUUUUAGCAGUUUUAUUGCAAUCAUUUUUUUAAAAAUUAUGUUAUUAUGGUGUAAGAUGAAAGCCCUGUCAGGGAUUUCUAAUUGUUCAAUGAAAUGAGAGAAAAUACAGAAACAAUGAUCAUUUUUCACUACAGAGAGGUGUGAAAGCAGGAUGCCCUAAAGCUCUAGAUAAACUCUUCAGGAACUGACUGGAAAAGAAGGGGAUUUCUGAGGUGCCACGGCUUGCUGGUGUCACACAAUUACGUGGGAUGGUUUAAGAUAAAGAUUUGUGUAGAGGAAGAGAAUGGAUCCCCACUCCUGGUGACUGCUGGGUAAACUCCAGGGAAAUUCUGUGUUGGUAAGUCCCAAAUAAUAAACAUGGGAAAGAGUAAUUAACUAUAUAUAUGUAAUCAUAGUCUCUGAUGGGUAUUACCUGCUCAGGAAAGAAAUCUGAGUGGCAGUAUUGAUAACUCCACGGAGACAAGAAUUCAACUCCCUGCAAAAUGCAAGAAGAGAAAUAAACCACGAGACAGAGAAGGGAAAAUCUGUGUCCUAAUAAUGUAUUUAUUUUUUUAAAAAUACCAUAGAAUUCCUAAUAGACUUUAAGUAGUCAGAUAGCUUCCAAAAUGUUCUCUGCUCUCAUAUUCUCAUAGCAUGAACAUUCACAUGUUCUAACCUCCCGUGUAUUUGUGCAAGAAAAUGUGAUAUCAGGAACAAUGGAGAGAUAGGGCUGGUCACUGGUCCUAUUCCAGAGAGUCAGCAGUGACCAGGAGUUCCUUGACCUUCAGAUGAGCAACAUGCCAGCUGAGAGCACUUUUGGAACCAAGUGUCUGUCUUGGCUGUCUUGUUUUUCCUGGAUGCCGUGCAGAUCCAUGGCCAUGUCCAGGCAGGUGCAGAUGGCAGCUGCCAGCAGAGUUAGGUCUUCAUUCACAACUGGGAGAUAACAGGGAGCUGCUGCCAGCCCCAAUCCAUCUUCCCCAUCACCUUUGCUGGGAGGGAGAUCAGCUUCACACCCAGCCCAAGACUUGGCAGCUCAGCCUGAUUCCUUCACUGGCUCCCACCAGGGAUGUGGGAGUGCUCAGCUCCAAACCAGACCUCAGCUCCUCGCUAGGAGCCCUCCAGAUGGAGCUGGGUGCUGGAAAUUCCCAGCCCUGUGGAGGUCAGCAGUCACUGGUGUUGGUCUGGACGUGAAUUUCAAGGCUCAGAGCUUUGCUCCCAAGCCUCUGCAGACAAAACUCUCUGUGUUGGGCCUUGCAGCUGGUGCUGGCUGCAGAAAGCUGCCCAUCUGUGCAGAGGGAGAAGCCAUCAACACUGACUCACUGCUCCACCACCUCCUACUUUUGGCAGAAACAGCACAAGCACACUCAGAGGACCCUGGCAGAACAGAGCACUUGCAGUGAGGGGCUGGGGUUGAUGCUGAAGGGAUGUGACAUCAAACCAUGCUCAGAGCAGUCAUUCCUAGGUGAGUGAGUGGUGUCCAUGGUCCUGCAUGGACUCAUGGAAUCACUGUGUGGACUCACUGUGCCCUCAGAGAGCUGAUCUGCUGGAGGGCAGGAAGGCUCUGAGAGGGAUCCGCAUGGGCUGGACCCAUGGACUGGAUCCAUGGGCCAAGACCACAGCGUGAGGUUCAACAAGGCCAAGGGCUGGGUCCUGCACUUGGAUCACAACAACCCCAGGGAAUGCUCCAGGCUAGGGCAGAGUGGCUGGAAAGCUGAAAGUGGAAAAGCAGUAGGUUGGCAGUGGCUGAACAUGAGUCCAGGUGUGCCCAGGUGGGCAAGAGGCCAAUGGCACCUGGCCUGUAGCAGGAACAGCGUGGCCACAGGACCAGAGUAGUGACUGUCCUGUGGUGCUGGGCACUGCUGAGGCCACACCUCGAGUGCUGUGUCCAGUUCUGGGCCCCUCGGUACAAGAAGGACACUGAGGGGCUGGAGCAUGUCUAGGGAAGGGAAUGGAGUUGGGGAAGGGUCUGGAGCACCAGGAGAGACUGAGGGAGCUGGGAAGGGGCUCAGUGUGGAGAAAAGGAGACUCAGGGGGGACCUUGUGGCUCUGCAUAACUCCUGACAGGAGGGGACAGCCAAGGGGGGUUGGGGUCUGUUCCCAGGGAACAGGGACAGGAAAAGAGCAAACAGCCUCAAGCUGCAUCAGAGGAAGUUCAGGUCAGGUGGACAUCAGAAGGAAUUUCUUCACAGAAAGGUUGUCAAGCAUUGGAAUAGGCUGCCCAGGGAAGUGAUGGAGUCCCCAGCUCUGGAGGUGUUGAAGAAAUGAUGGAAUGUGGCACUCAGGGCUCUGGUCUGGUUGACAAAGUGGUGAUCAAAGGCUGGGCUCAAUGAUCUUUUAGAUCUUUUUCUAACUUUAAUGAUUUUAUGAUUCUGUGAAAGCAGGUCUCAAACAACAGGAGCGAUUUUUCAGACCAGUUUCUGACCAAACACAAUAUCUGACUAAACACCAACCCCUAGAGCUGGACUAAACAGCCUUGGCUCUUUACAUGCCUGAAAUACACUUUUUAACCCUGCAGUCUCAUCCUACAGUCACUGAGUGAAGUUUGGAUGGGCUUGCCCUAGAAAUGCAUAUUCCUAAUGAAGAACCUGAGUAACCAGCUCAGAUCAUGGAAAUACAGAAUCAUUAAAGCUGAAAGGUCAUCAAGGCCAACAAUUAACGCUGCACUGCCAAGGAUGAAGUUAGGACAUCUCAUAAAGAUUGGAGAGAAGAACCUCACCCUGCAGAUGCAGGGACUCAUCUCCAGAGUUCACAGCUUUAAGGAGCCUGAAAAUAAAAACAUCCUUGAGGCAGAAAAUCCCUACCCAGGCAUGCAACAAAAGACUGCCUGCUCCAAAAUCCUAAUCUUUCUCUCCAGCCAAGACUCAUGGCUGGUCCUUAAAGAGAGGGGGAUCCUGUGUGGGUAGGAGAGCAGAACCAGGACCCUUCUCUUGCAGAGGAGAGUUUUUAUCAUCAUCACAGCUCCCAUUUCCCAAAGCUGUGGUGCAGGCACACUCUUGUGGCUGCACAGAGCAGUGCACGCUGCUCGAGGCCAGCUCUGCUCCAGGAGCCCGCAGGAGCAGAGAGGAUUUUGUGGCUCGUCCUGCCCCUCCGAGAAGGCACCGGCUCCUUCAGCCACCGCACCCACAGUGAUCCGGGAUACUGCGGCAGCCCCCGGGAUGCUGUAAGAGCUUUCCUGAGCGCUUUUCUCCAGCUCUGGUCAGAGCAGGGUGUGUGCCCUGAGGCAGGGAAUAAUUCAGCACUGCGGAUAUUAACGCUCCACCGCGGGAAUGAGCCUGGUUCUGGGAAAAGGGACAGCCCAGCUGCUGGGCUAGGGGUGAAAGUUUGGGGUCCCCAGUCCAUUAAGAGUCAUGGGAUUCGUGUCACCCCACACAGGGCAUCCUGUAUGACUUUAUUUAUCCUGGGAAGAGGCUCUUAUUUACCCUGGGAGGUGCCUCCUCAUCCUGCCCAGGUGAGCAUCUUUGGAUGCUCUCCAUCUCCCACCCUGCAGCCUCGGAAGUUGGCUGGGGGUGCUGAAUCUCCUCUGCCUCUGCUCUUUGGGGUUUUGCUGAAGGAGCAGCAAAACCCUUCCUUGCUGGCAGCCUGGGUGAAGCCCAUCAGCCCUGCUCACACCCGAGUGAGGAAAAAGCUGUUGGCAAUUGGCUGUGAAAAUCAGAAUGUCACCAAGUGGUGCUGAAAGUGGAUUUUUUCCCCUUCCCUUUCUUUUUUUUUUUUUGUUUUUCCUUUACUGUCAGGACAUGCAGAUCCCAACCAGGAGGCUCCACUGUGCAUUGCUUGGGGUCCUGGGGUCUAACAGAGAUGGAGCAUCAGUCACCCCACUGAGUUCCUUGCAGUCGGAGCAAAACCUCCUUUUCCCCUAUUUUUGGGAGUGUCUAGAAUCAGGAGGAUUCCCCUUGUUUUUUCCCCCUCCUUCUCAGCUGCUUGCAGCAUAUCCCUGCCCUCUGGAAAACACAGAGGCUGUGGCUCUGCUGUACCUACUCCAUGAGCUGUGCUGCUCAUCCAGACCCUCUGCUUCCCAAAAAUCAUCUUGGUGUAGCUCUGAUCUGUGGGUUUCAGAGCAAGCUGUGUAAGAACAGGGAUCCCUGAGACAUCCCUGAGAAAAGCUGUCUCAUGCUGCCAGUCUGAGCUACACGUGGACAUGAAAAUGGAUGGGAAACAACUGGGACUGAAGUGGGAUUACAAAUGGCAGCAUCAGUUGUCUGCUCUGGAUGCAUUCAAAUACAUACUUCAACAUCAGGUUGUUCUCUGAGAGAUCCUGGGGUUGUUCCCUGUAUAAAUCACCUUGUUCCCAUUCUGCCCUAACACUGGAGGCAUCAUUUGAGAAAAAAUGAUUUAAAAACCACCCCCAAAACCCCCAAGUGCAGCCCUGAACUGUUUGGUGGGGCUGUAAGACAGGGAAGUGGUUUGAACAAACACAGUGCCUUGUGAUGAGACUGGCAGAAAAUCCCAGAGACCCUGGAUCCCUGAAUUCCAGAACCCCAGAAUGGUUUGGGUUGGAAAGGGACCCUAAAGUCCACCCAGUUCCAACUCCUGCCAUGGCAGGGACACCUUGCACUAUCCCAGGUUGCUCCAAACCCCAUCCAACCUGGCCUGGCACACUUCCAGGGAUGGGGCAGCCUCAGCUUCUCUGGACAGCCUGUGCCAGGGCCUCACCAUUCACAGGGAAGAGUUUCUUCCCAAUAUCCCAUUUAACCCUGUUUUUUUGUCAAAUUGACACCAUUUCCCCUUGUCCUGUGAAUCCAGGCUCUUGUCCCCAGUCCCCCUCCAGCUCUCCUGGAGCCCCUUCAGGCCCUGGCAGGGGCUCUGAGCUCUCCCUGGAGGUUUCUCCUCUCCAGGUGAGCACCCCCAGCUCUCCCAGCCUGGCUCCAGGGCAGAGGGGCUCCAGCCCUUGGAGAAUGUUUGUGGCCUCCUCUGGACUCACUCCAGCAUCUCCACAUCCUUCUCAAGCUGGGCCCUCAAACCUGAACCAAGUACUGCAGGUGGGUUUCUAAAUAUUAAUUUUUAUUUUCUUGCUGAUGGGAGCCAUGGCAUAUUUGCAUUUUUGAGCCUGAAUAGUUUUAAUUCGGUUUUUUAUUGUACAAACUCAAGAGGAACAUUUACUUUGUUUUCACUGAUUAGUUAUACAAUUAUUCCUUUCAGAUACCACAUGAACCAUGAACCAUAAUAUUGUAUUCUUUGCUAAUACAUUUUGGCUGAGGUAUUUACAUGAAAACACAAUACAUAAAUGUAAUGAAUUUUUCAAAUGAACACAUCGGUAAUAUAAAGUAAUCUUUUUUUUUUCCCAUACACCGAAAAUUCAUUAAACUUUUCUCAAUUAGCAAACUGACUUUUCUAAAUAAGCUGCUGAUUGAGCACGAGCCACGAGCUGGAUUUGAUAAUGUUGGAUGGUGCCUGUCACCAGGGAGGGAGAGAUUAUCUCUGCCAGCCCAGGGCAGGAAUCUUCUGCUGGAUCUGUCACCUCUUGAAGGGGGUACCACUUCCAGCUGCUCACCAGUGAGGAGUCAGGGCUUCCCAAAUGAGAAUAAAUGAGAAUAAUCUUCCAACUAGGAGGUGAAAUGAAGUCCUGGGCUGAGUCCAGCCUUCAGGCCUGUAUCAGCAUCUGUGCUGUGGCCAGCCAGGUCAGGGAGAGGAGGAAAUGGGAAUGAGGGAGGACAAAGCCUGGUUAAUUUUCAGCUGGAUGAAGGCACAGAUGUGGCUGUUCAUGUUCCUGCAGAGCUACAAGUGUUGUGAAGGUGUCCAAGGCCAGGCUGGACAGGGCUUGGAGCAGCCUGGUCUGUUGAAGGUGUCCCUUCCCCCUGGCAGGGGGUGGAACUGGAUGAACUUUAAGGUCCCUCCUAACCCAAACCAUCCUGUGACUCUGUGAUUAUGUUCCAUGAUGACACAAACUGUUACAGCCUGGAGAAGUAAAGUCAUGCUCCUUCUGAAGUCAGCACCUUACUCUUUUAUUUAUUUUUAAUUUUAUUAGUCUUCUUUUUAUUUUCCAUAGAAUCCAGAGGUAGUAAUUCCUUUUGUGGACUCCUUUAAAUAUGCUCUGCAGAAACCAGGGACUGAUGCUGAAAUCUUGGUCUCACUGAAGUUAGUGGGGAUCUUGCUCCUGGCUUUGUUGGGGGGAUUUGGUUCUGGCCGAGUCUCUUUGUGUGAAGUGGAAUAAAUCCAUCAGGAGUGGAGUGUCUCAGCACAAUGAACACCUCCCAGUGCCUUUCACACAGAUCACACUGUUAUAUCAUGUGCCUGACCUACUUUGCUUUAAUAAGCUCAUCUGUGUGCAGUGGAAGAUAAGCAAAACCACUCUUCUGACACGAAAAUCCAUCCUGCCUAUCAACACGUGUGUGCUGCUCUUGGCAGGGGCUGAUCCUGGGCUGAUAAGGGCUGCUUUUCCCUCUCAUGGAAGUAAAACUUCCACUGGCAUCCAGUGAGACUGGGAGGCACUGGAAAAGGUUGUCCAGAGAAGCUGUGGGUGCCCCAUCCCUGGAGGUGUUCCAGCCCAGGUCAGAUGGAGUUUGGAGCAACCUGGGAUAGUGGAAGAUAUCCCCAACAGGGCUGGAUGAUCUUGAAGGUUCCUUCCUACCAAAACCAUUCUAGAAUUCAGUGAUUUGACCCCAUUACAGGGGUGGGAAGGACAAGAAGUCAGCUUCAGGGACUGGCUGUGGACAAAAGAGCAAGGAGUGGGAUCAAUAGUGGGAUUCAAAAGUUAUAUCAGAUUGUUUCUCAUGUUGGGAUACACAGGGCUCAGGUGGGGAUUUGUGUCCAUCUCCUCCUGGAUGAGCAUGAAUGUUUCUCUUUGGACACUUUGUUCUCCUGGUACAAUUCCCCAGGAUCACCAUGGGGCCUCCCAGGGUUGUUGCUCCCAUGGGACAGUCCAGGCUUUUGCUCCUGCAGAGCAUCUUCAUGCUUGGGUUUCCCACCAGGCUGCAGCUGAGCAUGGGCAGCCCCAUCUCCAGCAUCUCUGCCUGACAGGAUCAGAGAAUCACUGAAUAUCCUGGAUUGGAAGGGACCCACAAGAAUCAUCAAGCCCUGCACAGCCCCAGGAAUCCCACCUUGUGCCUGAGAUCAUUAUCCAAAUCCUCCUUGAGCUCUGGCUGUCUUGGUGCCUGGACCACUUCCUUGCAGAGCCUGGAUCUCCAUCCUACCCAAAGACGUUCCCGUGGAAAAUCCCAGCCUUUCCUGGGAAAGCCUCCCCCAUGAACUGUGCUAGAAAUGUCAGGGUGGGUGUCAUGGCUCUCACUGUCAGAGGCAUCCCUGAGACAACCCCUCUGAGUUCAAAGCAUUUCAGCAGUGCAGAAAAGCUGGUUUGGCUCCCAAAAUAGCUCCACACACGACGCCGCUGAUGACAAAGCUCAUUACCUGGGUCAUGUUCUGGCAAAUUCCUUUGUGAGAGAAAAUCCUGCCUGCUGUGGAAUGCCCUUGACCAGCCCCAAACCUGCUUUUGCUGGGCUGGGAAGAGAUGAGAGCACAGACAGACCCUGAGCAACAGGGAGGUAAGCAGGACCCUUGUCGUGAGCAUGAGCACAGAACCAGGAUGCAUCUUGUGGUGCCCUCCCUCUUUCUUUUGUUUUUUUGCUUUGCUACUGGAUUUGGGUCAGUAUUUUUAUCUUUGCUUCCCCCUUUAUUUAUUUAUUUGUUUGUUUAUUUGUUCCCUUUUUUUUUUUUUUUUUU